Molecule: ribosomal RNA, 448 nt
Filed under: uncultured bacterium
Lineage: Bacteria
Description: partial 16S ribosomal RNA
Rfam family: Bacterial small subunit ribosomal RNA
Source: RNAcentral
CCAGACUCCUACGGGAGGCAGCAGUGGGGAAUAUUGCGCAAUGGGGGAAACCCUGACGCAGCAACGCCGCGUGAAGGAUGACGGCCUUCGGGUUGUAAACUUCUGUCGCAGAGGAAGAAGAAAGUGACGGUACUCUGUGAGAAAGCCACGGCUAACUACGUGCCAGCAGCCGCGGUAAUACGUAGGGGGCAAGCGUUAUCCGGAUUUACUGGGUGUAAAGGGGGCGCAGACGGCGAUGCAAGCCAGGAGUGAAAGCCCGGGGCCCAACCCCGGGACUGCUCUUGGAACUGCGUGGCUGGAGUGCAGGAGGGGCAGGCGGAAUUCCUGGUGUAGCGGUGAAAUGCGUAGAUAUCAGGAGGAACACCGGUGGCGAAGGCGGCCUGCUGGACUGCAACUGACGUUGAGGCCCGAAAGCGUGGGGAGCAAACAGGAUUAGAUACCCCAGUAU